RNAcentral lists this ribosomal RNA (594 nucleotides) under Curvularia lunata. Its description in RNAcentral is "partial large subunit ribosomal RNA". It matches the Rfam family "Eukaryotic large subunit ribosomal RNA", at positions 49 to 658 of the family's 3401-position model. Lineage: Eukaryota; Fungi; Ascomycota; Dothideomycetes; Pleosporales; Pleosporaceae. The record is from RNAcentral.
AGCGGAGGAAAAGAAACCAACAGGGAUUGCCCUAGUAACGGCGAGUGAAGCGGCAACAGCUCAAAUUUGAAAUCUGGCUCUUUCAGAGUCCGAGUUGUAAUUUGCAGAGGGCGCUUUGGCUUUGGCAGCGGUCCAAGUUCCUUGGAACAGGACGUCACAGAGGGUGAGAAUCCCGUACGUGGUCGCUAGCUAUUGCCGUGUAAAGCCCCUUCGACGAGUCGAGUUGUUUGGGAAUGCAGCUCUAAAUGGGAGGUAAAUUUCUUCUAAAGCUAAAUAUUGGCCAGAGACCGAUAGCGCACAAGUAGAGUGAUCGAAAGAUGAAAAGCACUUUGGAAAGAGAGUCAAACAGCACGUGAAAUUGUUGAAAGGGAAGCGCUUGCAGCCAGACUUGCUUGCAGUUGCUCAUCCGGGCUUUUGCCCGGUGCACUCUUCUGCAGGCAGGCCAGCAUCAGUUUGGGCGGUGGGAUAAAGGUCUCUGACACGUUCCUUCCUUCGGGUUGGCCAUAUAGGGGAGACGACAUACCACCAGCCUGGACUGAGGUCCGCGCAUCUGCUAGGAUGCUGGCGUAAUGGCUGUAAGCGGCCCGUCUUGAA